This 479-nucleotide ribosomal RNA is filed under the name uncultured bacterium. Its description in RNAcentral is "partial 16S ribosomal RNA". It matches the Rfam family "Bacterial small subunit ribosomal RNA", at positions 28 to 507 of the family's 1533-position model. The record is from RNAcentral.
GAUGAACGCUAGCGGGAGGCCUAACACAUGCAAGCCGAGCGGUAUUGUUUCUUCGGAAAUGAGAGAGCGGCGUACGGGUGCGUAACACGUGUGCAACCUGCCUUUAUCUGGGGGAUAGCCUUUCGAAAGGAAGAUUAAUACUCCAUAAUAUAUUGAACGGCAUCGUUUAAUAUUGAAAGCUCCGGCGGGUAGAGAUGGGCACGCGCAAGAUUAGCUAGUUGGUGAGGUAACGGCUCACCAAGGCGAUGAUCUUUAGGGGGCCUGAGAGGGUGAUCCCCCACACUGGUACUGAGACACGGACCAGACUCCUACGGGAGGCAGCAGUGAGGAAUAUUGGUCAAUGGGUGCAAGCCUGAACCAGCCAUCCCGCGUGAAGGACGACUGCCCUAUGGGUUGUAAACUUCUUUUGUAUAGGGAUAAACCUACCCUCGUGAGGGUAGCUGAAGGUACUAUACGAAUAAGCACCGGCUAACUCCGUG